This 484-nucleotide long non-coding RNA is filed under the name Physcomitrium patens. RNAcentral's name for it is "long non-coding RNA (PPAT_LNC007914)". Lineage: Eukaryota; Viridiplantae; Streptophyta; Bryopsida; Funariales; Funariaceae. The record is from RNAcentral.
CCUAAUAAUCCAAUAGGAUUAUAGAGAAAUUAUAAUUAAAUGUUAACAAUCAUAAUCAAACAUUAAGCAAGUUCAAUUAAAUUUUAUUGAAGUUAUAAAAGAAACACAAUGAAAUCCUAAAGAAAUAUAAAAGAAUAUUAAAGAAAACUUAGUCAAACCCUAACAAAAAUCUAAAUAAACCUUAAAUUCUAACCAAACCCUGAUCUUAAUCCAAUCUUAAUCAAACCCUAGGCAAACUCUAAACCUUAAACAUAUCGUAGUCAAAUCUUAAACAAAUCCUAAUCCUAACAAAUCUUAAUCAAUUCAAAACCUUAAACAAAUCCUAGUCAAAUCCUAAACAAACCCUAGUCAAAUCCUAAAUAAAUCCUCAUCAAAUCCUAAACUCUAAACCAAAUCUUAACCAAAUCCUAAUCCUAAAUCCUAAUGAAAUCCUAAGCCAAAUCAAAUCCUAAUCAUAGAUUUGAAAUUUAAAUAAAAAAAGAUU